AUAUUGUACAAUGGUGGAAACCCUGAUCCAGCCAUGCCGCGUGUAUGAUGAAGACCUUCGGGUUGUAGAGUAGUUUUGGCCGAGAAGAAGAGGAAUCUGCUAAUACGAGAUACUGCUGACGGUAUCUGCAGAAUAAGCACCGGCUAACUACGUGCCAGCAGCCGCGGUAAUACGUAGGGUGCAAGCGUUAAUCGGAAUUACUGGGCUUAAAGCGUGUGUAAGCGGAUCAGAAAGAAAGAUGUGAAAUUCCAGGGCUAAACCAUGGAACUGCCUUUUUAACUGCCGAGCUUGAGUAUAUCAGAGGGAGUUAGAAUUCCACGUGUAGCAGUGAAAUGCGUAGAUAUGUGGAAGAAUACCGAUAGCGAAGGCAGACCCCUGGGAUAAAACUGACGCUCAGACACGAAAGCGUGGGGAGCAAACA
This 421-nucleotide ribosomal RNA is filed under the name uncultured bacterium. RNAcentral's name for it is "partial 16S ribosomal RNA". It matches the Rfam family "Bacterial small subunit ribosomal RNA", at positions 361 to 774 of the family's 1533-position model. The record is from RNAcentral.